RNAcentral lists this ribosomal RNA (497 nucleotides) under uncultured bacterium. RNAcentral's name for it is "partial 16S ribosomal RNA". It matches the Rfam family "Bacterial small subunit ribosomal RNA", at positions 28 to 507 of the family's 1533-position model. The record is from RNAcentral.
GAUGAACGCUGGCGGCGUGCCUAAUACAUGCAAGUCGAGCGAACGGACGAGAAGCUUGCUUCUCUGAUGUUAGCGGCGGACGGGUGAGUAACACGUGGAUAACCUACCUAUAAGACUGGGAUAACUUCGGGAAACCGGAGCUAAUACCGGAUAAUAUUUUGAACCGCAUGGUUCAAAAGUGAAAGACGGUCUUGCUGUCACUUAUAGAUGGAUCCGCGCUGCAUUGGCUAGUUGGUAAGGUAACGGCUUACCAAGGCAACGAUGCAUAGCCGACCUGAGAGGGUGAUCGGCCACACUGGAACUGAGACACGGUCCAGACUCCUACGGGAGGCAGCAGUAGGGAAUCUUCCGCAAUAGGCGAAAGCCUGACGGAGCAACGCCGCGUGAGUGAUGAAGGUCUUCGGAUCGUAAAACUCUGUUAUUAGGGAGGAACAUAUGUGUAAGUAACUGUGCACAUCUUGACGGUACCUAAUCAGAAAGCCACGGCUAACUACGUG